Long non-coding RNA from Spinacia oleracea (spinach), 696 nucleotides. RefSeq lists it as uncharacterized. Lineage: Eukaryota; Viridiplantae; Streptophyta; Magnoliopsida; Caryophyllales; Amaranthaceae. The transcript has 6 exons. The record is from RefSeq and is a predicted model, not a curated record.
AAAAUAUUUAGCUAUUCUACUGAGUGCUAAAACUACAAAUUUCCUUAACCGUUCCAUCGCGCAUAUCACUCUCGCUCAAACCCUAAUGAGCGAAAACUCCCAAAAGAACAACUUCUCCUAUGCAAAUCCGAAACUCUCAACUGUGUCUUUGCCAUUGAUAUUCAGUGGCAAAAAACGACUCAAUUUCACUUCAUGUGCUGGAAUUUCAAAGGGGAUCACGCUCUGAUUGAAUACUUAUCAACAUAUCCAGAGUAUUUGAGAAACAAAGAUGUUUGAAAGACCCCAUCUCAAUUCUUUUUCGCUUCACUUUCUUCUGGAAUUCGAGUUCUGGGGAGGUGUUACCACUUACCAGAUUGCGAUUUCUAGGUCAUAAUUUGAAAGAAAUGAGAAAAUAUUGGACUUUUCAAUGCUAUUUGAUAGAAUUUAUGCUGAUGAAACUUAAAUUGCCCGAGGAAAUCAACAUAUUAAGCUUUGUAGAGGCAUGCUACCUCUCUAAGUGAAAUCAAGUCGUUGAGUGCCCUUAUUCAUGUUUUGGUAAGUUUCAUUUUCAUGUGAACUAUGAUCACUUUUACGAGAAGUAUUAAACAUCUUGUAUACAACCUUCUUUGUUUUAUUCAUAUGAAUUUAACUAAAUGUUACUUAGCUUGUAUGAUUUUCUUAAAUUCUAUAGGUCAAUAAUGCUUGCAUUUUUGUGAA